AUUUUUGCAAUGUAUGAAACUGGAGCAAUGAGCUGUUAAUGAAAUAGUUUGCUGAGGACUGCAUUUCAUAUUUGAAACACGAUCUUAUCAGUGGCAUUGUGAAAGCUACCGGAAGUGCUACCAUCUACGCUAUUUCUCUUGACGCUGGUGUCAGGUAACAGCGAUGUUAACAAUAAUGUCUACAACAGCUACUCGGAAUCGACCUAAACCGCCAGAGCAGAUGUGGAACGACAACAAUCCCAUCAUGUUGUUUUUUUGCACUAUAGAGAGCCCACUGCAUCUCUGUCUGGACUGGAGCCUGCAGUGCCUCAGACUGGAAGUAUCUGCAGAGAGUGGUGAGGACGGGGGAAAAAAAUCAUCAGGACUCCUCUUCCUCCUAUGAAGGAGAUCGCAAAAAGCCGCUGCCUGACCAGGACUCAGAAAAUCUGCAGACUCCGCCCACCCCCACCAAGGACUGGUUUCACUGCUGGACUCCGGAAAGAGAUUCCGUAGCAGAACCUCCAGGUUCUGUAAACGCUUCUUCCCUCAGGCCAUAAGACUCUUGAAGGCAUCAGAAUAAUACCCUUAAUUCCUCCCAAAAACAGAUUAACUCCAUCCAUCCAUUUUCUAAAGCUUAUUCCCUUUUGGGGUCGCUGGCGCCUAUCUCAGCUACAAUUGGGCGGAAGGCGGGGUACAUCCUGGACAAGUCGCCACCUCAUCGCAGGGCCAACACAGAUAGACAGACAACAUUCACACUCACAUUCACAGAUUAACUCGCUGGACUAUAAAAAAUAUAAAGAUAACAUACAUCCGUAAACGUGGAUGCGUAUGCAAAAGUGGAAUAUAUUAUCUGUACAGUAAAUCUAUUUAUAUCUGCACCUCAUUGCUCUUUUAUCCUGCACUAAAACAAGCUAAUGCAACAAAAUUUUGUUCUUAUCUGUACUGUAAAGUUCAAAUUUGAAUGACAAUAAAGGAAGUCUAAGUCUAAAACCAAAAAAAAAAAACCCAAAAA
Long non-coding RNA from Nerophis ophidion (straightnose pipefish), 991 nucleotides. RefSeq lists it as uncharacterized. The record is from RefSeq and is a predicted model, not a curated record. Lineage: Eukaryota; Metazoa; Chordata; Actinopteri; Syngnathiformes; Syngnathidae. The transcript has 2 exons.